RNAcentral lists this unclassified non-coding RNA (237 nucleotides) under uncultured fungus. Its description in RNAcentral is "sequence contains ITS2". The stretch from base 1 to 52 matches the Rfam family "5.8S ribosomal RNA", at positions 103 to 154 of the family's 154-position model. The record is from RNAcentral. Lineage: Eukaryota; Fungi.
AACGCACAUUGCGCCCCUUGGUAUUCCGAGGGGCAUGCCUGUUCGAGCGUCAUUAUAACCACUCAAGCCUAGCUUGGUAUUGGGGUUCGCGUGCCCGCGGCCCUUAAAAUCAGUGGCGGUGCCGUCUGGCUCUAAGCGUAGUAAUUUUCUCGCUAUAGUGUCCUGGCGGUUACUUGCCAGAACCCCCCACAUUUUUAGGUUGACCUCGGAUCAGGUAGGGAUACCCGCUGAACUUAA